CGCUAGCUACAGGCUUAACACAUGCAAGUCGAGGGGCAGCAUGGUCUUAGCUUGCUAAGACUGAUGGCGACCGGCGCACGGGUGAGUAACACGUAUCCAACCUGCCGUCUACCCUUGGACAGCCUUCUGAAAGGAAGAUUAAUACAAGAUGGCAUCAUGAGUCCACAUGUUCACAUGAUUAAAGGUAUUCCGGUAGACGAUGGGGAUGCGUUCCAUUAGAUAGUAGGCGGGGUAACGGCCCACCUAGUCUUCGAUGGAUAGGGGUUCUGAGAGGAAGGUCCCCCACAUUGGAACUGAGACACGGUCCAAACUCCUACGGGAGGCAGCAGUGAGGAAUAUUGGUCAAUGGGCGAGAGCCUGAACCAGCCAAGUAGCGUGAAGGAUGACUGCCCUAUGGGUUGUAAACUUCUUUUAUAAAGGAAUAAAGUCGGGUAUGCAUACCCGUUUGCAUGUACUUUAUGAAUAAGGAUCGGCUAACUCCGUGCCAGCAGCCGCGGUAAUACGGAGGAUCCGAGCGUUAUCCGGAUUUAUUGGGUUUAAAGGGAGCGUAGAUGGAUGUUUAAGUCAGUUGUGAAAGUUUGCGGCUCAACCGUAAAAUUGCAGUUGAUACUGGAUAUCUUGAGUGCAGUUGAGGCAGGCGGAAUUCGUGGUGUAGCGGUGAAAUGCUUAGAUAUCACGAAGAACUCCGAUUGCGAAGGCAGCCUGCUAAGCUGCAACUGACAUUGAGGCUCGAAAGUGUGGGUAUCAAACAGGAUUAGAUACCCUGGUAGUCCACACGGUAAACGAUGAAUACUCGCUGUUUGCGAUAUACAGCAAGCGGCCAAGCGAAAGCGUUAAGUAUUCCACCUGGGGAGUACGCCGGCAACGGUGAAACUCAAAGGAAUUGACGGGGGCCCGCACAAGCGGAGGAACAUGUGGUUUAAUUCGAUGAUACGCGAGGAACCUUACCCGGGCUUAAAUUGCAGAUGAAUUACGGUGAAAGCCGUAAGCCGCAAGGCAUCUGUGAAGGUGCUGCAUGGUUGUCGUCAGCUCGUGCCGUGAGGUGUCGGCUUAAGUGCCAUAACGAGCGCAACCCUUGUUGUCAGUUACUAACAGGUCCUGCUGAGGACUCUGACAAGACUGCCAUCGUAAGAUGUGAGGAAGGUGGGGAUGACGUCAAAUCAGCACGGCCCUUACGUCCGGGGCUACACACGUGUUACAAUGGGGGGUACAGAGGGCCGCUACCACGCGAGUGGAUGCCAAUCCCCAAAACCUCUCUCAGUUCGGACUGGAGUCUGCAACCCGACUCCCCGAAGCUGGAUUCGCUAGUAAUCGCGCAUCAGCCACGGCGCGGUGAAUACGUUCCCGGGCCUUGUACACACCGCCCGUCAAGCCAUGGGAGCCGGGGGUACCUGAAGUGCGUAACCGCGAGGAGCGCCCUAGGGUAAAACUGGUGACUGGGGC
RNAcentral lists this ribosomal RNA (1443 nucleotides) under uncultured organism. Its description in RNAcentral is "SSU rRNA". It matches the Rfam family "Bacterial small subunit ribosomal RNA". The record is from RNAcentral.